This 700-nucleotide ribosomal RNA is filed under the name Streptomyces sp. RNAcentral's name for it is "bacterial SSU rRNA". It matches the Rfam family "Bacterial small subunit ribosomal RNA", at positions 105 to 819 of the family's 1533-position model. Lineage: Bacteria; Bacillati; Actinomycetota; Actinomycetes; Kitasatosporales; Streptomycetaceae. The record is from RNAcentral.
GGUGAGUAACACGUGGGCAAUCUGCCCUGCACUCUGGGACAAGCCCUGGAAACGGGGUCUAAUACCGGAUAAUACUUUCUCCUGCAUGGGGGAGGGUUAAAAGCUCCGGCGGUGCAGGAUGAGCCCGCGGCCUAUCAGCUUGUUGGUGGGGUGAUGGCCUACCAAGGCGACGACGGGUAGCCGGCCUGAGAGGGCGACCGGCCACACUGGGACUGAGACACGGCCCAGACUCCUACGGGAGGCAGCAGUGGGGAAUAUUGCACAAUGGGCGAAAGCCUGAUGCAGCGACGCCGCGUGAGGGAUGACGGCCUUCGGGUUGUAAACCUCUUUCAGCAGGGAAGAAGCGAGAGUGACGGUACCUGCAGAAGAAGCGCCGGCUAACUACGUGCCAGCAGCCGCGGUAAUACGUAGGGCGCAAGCGUUGUCCGGAAUUAUUGGGCGUAAAGAGCUCGUAGGCGGUUUGUCACGUCGGAUGUGAAAGCCCGGGGCUUAACCCCGGGUCUGCAUUCGAUACGGGCAGACUAGAGUGUGGUAGGGGAGAUCGGAAUUCCUGGUGUAGCGGUGAAAUGCGCAGAUAUCAGGAGGAACACCGGUGGCGAAGGCGGAUCUCUGGGCCAUUACUGACGCUGAGGAGCGAAAGCGUGGGGAGCGAACAGGAUUAGAUACCCUGGUAGUCCACGCCGUAAACGUUGGGAACUAG